Molecule: ribosomal RNA, 497 nt
Filed under: uncultured bacterium
Lineage: Bacteria
Description: partial 16S ribosomal RNA
Rfam family: Bacterial small subunit ribosomal RNA
Source: RNAcentral
GAUGAACGCUGGCGGCGUGCCUAAUACAUGCAAGUCGAGCGAACAGAUAAGGAGCUUGCUCCUUUGACGUUAGCGGCGGACGGGUGAGUUACACGUGGAUAACCUACCUAUAAGACUGGGAUAACUUCGGGAAACCGGAGCUAAUACCGGAUAACAUAUUGAACCGCAUGGUUCAAUAGUGAAAGGCGGCUUUGCUGUCACUUAUAGAUGGAUCCGCGCCGUAUUAGCUAGUUGGUAAGGUAACGGCUUACCAAGGCAACGAUACGUAGCCGACCUGAGAGGGUGAUCGGCCACACUGGAACUGAAACACGGUCCAGACUCCUACGGGAGGCAGCAGUAGGGAAUCUUCCGCAAAGGGCGAAAGCCUGACGGAGCAACGCCGCGUGAGUGAUGAAGGUCUUCGGAUCGUAAAACUCUGUUAUCAGGGAAGAACAAAUGUGUAAGUAACUGUGCACAUCUUGACGGUACCUGAUCAGAAAGCCACGGCUAACUACGUG